This 70-nucleotide transfer RNA is filed under the name Pantodon buchholzi (freshwater butterflyfish). RNAcentral describes it as "tRNA-Arg". It matches the Rfam family "tRNA". Rfam says of the family: Transfer RNA (tRNA) molecules are approximately 80 nucleotides in length. Their secondary structure includes four short double-helical elements and three loops (D, anti-codon, and T loops). Lineage: Eukaryota; Metazoa; Chordata; Actinopteri; Osteoglossiformes; Pantodontidae. The record is from RNAcentral.
AGACUAUUAGUCCAAUGCAAGACUUCUGAUUUCGACCCAGAAAACUAUGGUUCAAGUCCAUAAUUGUCUU